GACGAACGCUGGCGGCGUGCUUAACACAUGCAAGUCGAACGGAAAGGCCCUGCUUUUGUGGGGUGCUCGAGUGGCGAACGGGUGAGUAACACGUGAGUAACCUGCCCUUGACUUUGGGAUAACUUCAGGAAACUGGGGCUAAUACCGGAUAGGAGCUCCUGCUGCAUGGUGGGGGUUGGAAAGUUUCGGCGGUUGGGGAUGGACUCGCGGCUUAUCAGCUUGUUGGUGGGGUAGUGGCUUACCAAGGCUUUGACGGGUAGCCGGCCUGAGAGGGUGACCGGCCACAUUGGGACUGAGAUACGGCCCAGACUCCUACGGGAGGCAGCAGUGGGGAAUAUUGCACAAUGGGCGGAAGCCUGAUGCAGCAACGCCGCGUGCGGGAUGACGGCCUUCGGGUUGUAAACCGCUUUCGCCUGUGACGAAGCGUGAGUGACGGUAAUGGGUAAAGAAGCACCGGCUAACUACGUGCCAGCAGCCGCGGUGAUACGUAGGGUGCGAGCGUUGUCCGGAUUUAUUGGGCGUAAAGGGCUCGUAGGUGGUUGAUCGCGUCGGAAGUGUAAUCUUGGGGCUUAACCCUGAGCGUGCUUUCGAUACGGGUUGACUUGAGGAAGGUAGGGGAGAAUGGAAUUCCUGGUGGAGCGGUGGAAUGCGCAGAUAUCAGGAGGGACACCAGUGGCGAAGGCGGUUCUCUGGGCCUUUCCUGACGCUGAGGAGCGAAAGCGUGGGGAGCGAACAGGCUUAGAUACCCUGGUAGUCCACGCUGUAAACGGUGGGUACUAGGUGUGGGGUCCAUUCCACGGGUUCCGUGCCGUAGCUAACGCUUUAAGUACCCCGCCUGGGGAGUACGGCCGCAAGGCUAAAACUCAAAGGAAUUGACGGGGCCCCGCACAAGCGGCGGAGCAUGCGGAUUAAUUCGAUGCAACGCGUAGAACCUUACCCGGGUUUGACAUGGAUCGGGAGCGCUCAGAGAUGGGUGUGCCUCUUUUGGGGUCGGUUCACAGGUGGUGCAUGGCUGUCGUCAGCUCGUGUCGUGAGAUGUUGGGUUAAGUCCCGCAACGAGCGCAACCCUUGUUCACUGUUGCCAGCACGUUAUGGUGGGGACUCAGUGGAGACCGCCGGGGUCAACUCGGAGGAAGGUGGGGAUGACGUCAAGUCAUCAUGCCCCUUAUGUCCAGGGCUUCACGCAUGCUACAAUGGCUGGUACAGAGAGUGGCGAGCCUGUGAGGGUGAGCGAAUCUCGGAAAGCCGGUCUCAGUUCGGAUUGGGGUCUGCAACUCGACCUCAUGAAGUCGGAGUCGCUAGUAAUCGCAGAUCAGCAACGCUGCGGUGAAUACGUUCCCGGGGCU
Molecule: ribosomal RNA, 1346 nt
Filed under: uncultured bacterium
Lineage: Bacteria
Description: bacterial SSU rRNA
Rfam family: Bacterial small subunit ribosomal RNA
Source: RNAcentral